Molecule: ribosomal RNA, 698 nt
Filed under: Nitrososphaeria archaeon
Lineage: Archaea; Thermoproteati; Nitrososphaerota; Nitrososphaeria
Description: bacterial SSU rRNA
Rfam family: Archaeal small subunit ribosomal RNA
Source: RNAcentral
GGCCGGACUCCGGUUGAUCCUGCCGGACCCCACUGCUCUCGGGGUAAGGCUAAGCCAUGCAAGUCGGAGGUCUCCGGGAAUCCGGGGGCCUGGCGUACGGCUGAGUAACACGUGGCUAACCUGCCCUGCGGAGGAGGAUAACCCCGGGAAACUGGGGAUAAACCUCCAUAGGUGAGUGGCUCUGGAACGACCACUCGCCGAAAUCCCUGCACGGGGAUCCUCCGUGCCGGGGCCGCAGGAUGGGGCCGCGUCCUAUCAGGUAGUUGGUGGGGUAACGGCCCACCAAGCCUAAGACGGGUAGGGGCCCUGAGAGGGGGAGCCCCCAGAUGGACUCUGAGACAAGAGUCCAGGCCCUACGGGGCGCAGCAGGCGCGAAAACUCCGCAAUGGGCGGAAGCCCGACGGGGUUACCCCGAGUGCCACCCUCGUGGUGGCUUUUGCCCGCUGUAAAAAGGCGGGCGAAUAAGGGGAGGGCAAGUCGGGUGUCAGCCGCCGCGGUAAUACCCGCUCCCCGAGUGGUGGGGACUAUUACUGGGCCUAAAGCGCCCGUAGCCGGCUCGGCGUGUCUCUCGUUAAAUCCACAGGCCUAACCUGUGGGCUGCGGGAGAUACUGCCGGGCUUGGGGGUGGGAGAGGCGCCCGGUAUUCCCGGGGUAGGGGUAAAAUCCUCUGAUCCCGGGAGGACCACCAGUGGCGAAGG